Molecule: ribosomal RNA, 253 nt
Filed under: uncultured bacterium
Lineage: Bacteria
Description: partial 16S ribosomal RNA
Rfam family: Bacterial small subunit ribosomal RNA
Source: RNAcentral
UACAGAGGUCUCAAGCGUUGUUCGGAUUCAUUGGGCGUAAAGGGUGCGCAGGCGGAUAUGUAAGUCAGUGGUGAAAUCUUUGGGCUUAACCCGAAAAUUGCCAUUGAUACUAUAUAUCUUGAAUGCUGUGGAGGUAAGCGGAAUAUGUCAUGUAGCGGUGAAAUGCUUAGAGAUGACAUAGAACACCUAUUGCGAAGGCAGCUUACUACGCAGAGAUUGACGCUCAUGCACGAAAGCGUGGGGAUCAAACAGG